This 75-nucleotide transfer RNA is filed under the name Cordylochernes scorpioides. RNAcentral describes it as "tRNA-Thr". It matches the Rfam family "tRNA". Rfam says of the family: Transfer RNA (tRNA) molecules are approximately 80 nucleotides in length. Lineage: Eukaryota; Metazoa; Arthropoda; Arachnida; Pseudoscorpiones; Chernetidae. The record is from RNAcentral.
GUCCAGGGUAGCCUAGUGAACAUGGCAUCUGCCCGGUAAGCGGAACAUUGUGGGUUCGAUUCCCAUCCCUGGGCA